RNAcentral lists this ribosomal RNA (497 nucleotides) under uncultured bacterium. RNAcentral describes it as "partial 16S ribosomal RNA". It matches the Rfam family "Bacterial small subunit ribosomal RNA", at positions 28 to 507 of the family's 1533-position model. The record is from RNAcentral.
GAUGAACGCUGGCGGCGUGCCUAAUACAUGCCAGUCGAGCGAACAGACGCUGAGCUUGCUUCUCUGAUGUUAGCGGCGGACGGGUGAGAAACACGUGGAUACCCUCCUUAUAAGACGGGGAAAACUUCGGGACACCGGCGCAAAUACCGGAUAAUAUUUUGAACCGCAGGGUUCAAUAGUGAAAUUCGGUCUUGCUGUCACUUAUAGAUGGUUCCGUGCUGCUUUAGCUGGUUGGUAAGGUAACAGCCUACCAAGGCUACGAUGCGUAGCCGACCUGAGAGGGUGAUCGGCCACAUUGGAACUUGGACACGGACCUGACGCCUACGGGAGGCAGCAGUAGGGAAUGUUCCGCAGUGGGCGAAAGCCUUACGGAGCAACGCCGCGUGAGUGAUGAAGGUCUUCGGAUCGUAAAACUCUGUUAUGAGGGAAGAACAGAUGUGUAAGUAACUGAGCACAGCUUGACGGUACCUAAUCAGAAAGCAACGGCUAACUACGUG